CUCCAGAUCCCUUCUCUCAUCUCUUUUCUUCCUCACCCCUCUAACCCUAAGUGUCAUCACCCAAAAAUCCCUCCAAAUCCUCUUGAUUCAUGGGGUUUUCCUUUGAUUUCAUGCCUUAUCUGGCCUCACAUCCCUACUGUUUAUGCGAUUUCGAUGUUUCUUGAUGUGAAUCUAAAGAGACUCGAACCAAAUCUGGUUCAAAGUUUCUCGUUUCUCGAUUAUUCCAUCUAUAUCAGUGAGUACGAGUAUUUUUCGUAUUUUUGGGGUUUCAAAUCUCUGGUACAAACCAGAUUUAAUUCGCUUCUGUCUAUUUUCAUGAACCUACCUGUUUUUUGUUUGAAUCCAUUUAGAUCUCUUUAAUCUGAAGCGAUUUUGUGUUUAUUUGGUAUUUCUCUCUUAAAAUUCUCUGUUUUUACUAUUAUUAUCGACAAAUUUCAUUUACCUAAAAAGCUAGGUUUUGAUUUAUGAUGGAUUUCUGCAAAAAAGGGUAUUAACGUCUAAAUGUUUUCAUAUAUGAUUUUCUUAUUUGCUUUUCGACUGAUUUUUACUUGAUUUAAUCAAGUUACAUCUAUAUAUCUUUGUAUUUCUUAGGGUUUCGAUUAUUUGACUAUGUAUGCUACUGUCUUUUGCCUGUUUACCUUUUAUUCCAUCAGUCACGUGUUAAUUAAUUUUAUUUUCCUAAAUUAGGGUUUAUGAAUCACCUUUCCUUUAUUACCAGUAUUUCCUUAUUAAGAUUUACCUGUUCUUACCUUAUUCAUCUGAUUAAUUAUCCUUACUACGGGCUUGAUUUUGUGUUCUGACUCCUAAUUUAUUUUGAGUUUAGUUCUUACCUUAUUCUUAAUUACUGAUUGAUUUCGUAUGAGAUUUUCGUUUAAUUAAGUGAUAGUUACUCGAUUAUGUCCUGUUAAUUGAUACAUGCUGACCUUAAUUGGUUGUUUACUGAUUUUCAUACCUUAUUUAUAUGUGAUUGGUUCACUACCUUAUUUGUUUAACCUUAUUGUAUGCUAUUAAAACCCCUCCCUUGUCCUGAUCUCACACAAACAUCCACAAACACAUUGAGAAACUUACACACUUUACAACUUAAAACUUUCAAACUCUCUGCUCUAAAAAACUUGAGCGUUCUCUUUCUAUUGUUCUAUUUUAUGCACUAUUUACCAGACUGCAAGCCAAGGCCAAAUUCUCUGGAUUCUAACUGCUAUUGCGUUCAUGUUUGCUUUCUUCUCAACUAGUAUGCCUUAACUCCUAUUAUUCUAUUAUAUAUUAUCUGAUUUACUCGAUUAGUCUAUUGAAGUUUUUAGCAAUCUUAUGCUUUCUAUAUAACUACAUGAUCCCGCUUAGUGAUAAUGCUAAACUAAGUUACCUUUAAUAAUGUGAAAUCCUCUCUAAUUCAGCUGUAUGUUCCUUAUUUUGGCUAUUGUUAGAUAUUGUAAGCAUGUAAUGUUUGGAUAAUUAUGUAUAUUAGUUAAAGUAUAUUUUCUUUUGUGAUUACUUUAAAUGAUGGUAUGAGUAUCUAGUUUGAACAAAUAUCAACUUAGUUGAACUAUAUGCUGAACAUGAGUUUUGUUUGUUCUCUGGUGCAAUUCUGUUACUAUUCCGUAUGUGCUGAUUUCUAAACAUGUUUCCCCUUACGCGAAAUGUACUGGUUUUCAAACUUCUACUUUUAGUUAUUUAGGUUCCUACCGCCCCUAGUGCGAGCACUGGCUAGGGUCCCUGAGACCUUUAGACUCUGACACAUUGGGGCUAGUUUUCCAAUCUUUUUAUGAAUUAUUUGUUGCAUGUGUGAUUCUAGUGUGAGCAUUGCCCAAGGUCCCUGAGGCUCUUUAGAAACAUUGACAUACUGGAAGCUUGGUUUAAGCUGUUGUGAAUGCAUCACUGCUAUUAUCUCAGAGUUGUUAUAUUUGAAGGCCUGGUUUCAAGGUUUAUAUUAGGCCUGCUAAGGCUCCC
RNAcentral lists this long non-coding RNA (1944 nucleotides) under Nicotiana benthamiana. RNAcentral's name for it is "long non-coding RNA (NBEN_LNC011489)". Lineage: Eukaryota; Viridiplantae; Streptophyta; Magnoliopsida; Solanales; Solanaceae. The record is from RNAcentral.